GCAUGAAGUCGGAAUUGCUAGUAAUCGCGGAUCAGCAUGCCGCGGUGAAUACGUUCCCGGGCCUUGUACACACCGCCCGUCACACCAUGGGAGCCGGUAAUACCCGAAGUCAGUAGUCCAACCUCGUGAGGACGCUGCCGAAGGUAGGAUUGGCGACUGGGGUGAAGUCGUAACAAGGUAAC
This 182-nucleotide ribosomal RNA is filed under the name uncultured bacterium. Its description in RNAcentral is "partial 16S ribosomal RNA". It matches the Rfam family "Bacterial small subunit ribosomal RNA", at positions 1318 to 1500 of the family's 1533-position model. The record is from RNAcentral.